AACGCAUAUUGCACCUUUUGGUAUUCCGAAAGGUACACUUGUUCGAGCGUCAUUUCAAACUUCAAGUUAAACUUGGUGUUGAAAGCUAUCUCAAAGAUACUUUCAAAACUCUAUUUACUUUCUAUGUCCAGAGAGCAACGAACUCACGUAAGCCUCAACGCAUAGACCUGACCCUUGACCUCGAAUCAAGUGGGAUUACCCGCUGAACUUAA
This 212-nucleotide unclassified non-coding RNA is filed under the name uncultured fungus. RNAcentral describes it as "sequence contains ITS2". The record is from RNAcentral. Lineage: Eukaryota; Fungi.